AUUGAACGCUGGCGGCAUGCCUUACACAUGCAAGUCGAACGGCAGCACGGGAGCAAUCCUGGUGGCGAGUGGCGAACGGGUGAGUAAUAUAUCGGAACGUGCCCGGUCGUGGGGGAUAACGUAGCGAAAGCUACGCUAAUACCGCAUACGAUCUACGGAUGAAAGCGGGGAUCGCGAGACCUCGCGCGAUUGGAGCGGCCGAUAUCAGAUUAGGUAGUUGGUGAGGUAAAGGCUCACCAAGCCGACGAUCUGUAGCUGGUCUGAGAGGACGACCAGCCACACUGGGACUGAGACACGGCCCAGACUCCUACGGGAGGCAGCAGUGGGGAAUUUUGGACAAUGGGCGCAAGCCUGAUCCAGCAAUGCCGCGUGCAGGAUGAAGGCCUUCGGGUUGUAAACUGCUUUUGUACGGAACGAAACGGUGAGCUCUAAUACAGUUUGCUAAUGACGGUACCGUAAGAAUAAGCACCGGCUAACUACGUG
Molecule: ribosomal RNA, 483 nt
Filed under: uncultured bacterium
Lineage: Bacteria
Description: bacterial SSU rRNA
Rfam family: Bacterial small subunit ribosomal RNA
Source: RNAcentral